GACGGCUCUGUCAAGCUGGCUGAUUUUGGCCUCGCUACUCAGCUCACCCCUGAGCAGAGCAGACGCUGCUCGCUAACUGGGACUCCUUGGUGGAUGGCGCCUGAAGUGGUGACAGGUCAACCAUAUGGCCCCAAAGUGGACAUAUGGUCUUUUGGAAUUGUGGGAAUUGAAAUGAUAGAACAAGAACCUCCUUACUUGAGCGAAAGUUCUGGCACGGCUACACACCUGAUAGCCACAGUAGGGACUCCACAGCUGCGGCAGCCCAAGCUCCUCUCGGCUUUGCUGCGUGACUUCCUGAGCUGCUGCCUGCAGACAGACGAGGAGCGGCGC
Zonotrichia leucophrys gambelii is the source of this 330-nucleotide long non-coding RNA. RefSeq lists it as uncharacterized. NCBI's taxonomy places the organism in Eukaryota, Metazoa, Chordata, Aves, Passeriformes, Passerellidae. The record is from RefSeq and is a predicted model, not a curated record. The transcript is spliced from 3 exons.